This 63-nucleotide transfer RNA is filed under the name Histeroidea sp. 2 KM-2017. RNAcentral's name for it is "tRNA-Pro". Lineage: Eukaryota; Metazoa; Arthropoda; Insecta; Coleoptera. The record is from RNAcentral.
CAGGGAAUAGUUUAUUAAAAUAUUAAUUUUGGAGAUUAAAGAAAGGGGUAUCCUUUUCCUUGA